RNAcentral lists this long non-coding RNA (795 nucleotides) under Homo sapiens (human). RNAcentral describes it as "HSALNT0299170". Lineage: Eukaryota; Metazoa; Chordata; Mammalia; Primates; Hominidae. The record is from RNAcentral.
GCACCUUAUCCAGUGCCACUUCAGACUAGGCCCUCCAACGUGUUGGUUAAUUGAAUUAUAGUUUCGGAUAAGAUGUGGUCCCUGCCUUUAAAAAGCUUUUAAUUUAAUUAUGGAAGCAGCUACAAACAUCAAUCCAUUAUUCCAAGACAACACAUUUAUCCAUUCAUUCAGCAAGUUUUUAUUUUAGAGAAGAGAGAAAGCAUGUCCAUGCAUACCUGAAUCAUGGGGCAGAAAGUGAAAUGUGGUGCAGAGGAAAUUCAGGCGAGGAGCCACAAAAACUGAGAGCAAAGUGACUUUGCUAAGAGGCUCUGGGAAAAAUCUCAAAGGGGAGGAGCAAAUGCCCAGACCUAGGAGACUGGGCAGAAUUUGGACACAAGGAAGUCAUUGUGGGCUGACAGUACAGGGUCCAACAGAGGCAAAGAGCUGGAAAUGCAGGGAAAGAAAGGGGAACAUCCUCCUCUUCCAGCGGAGGAAGCUGGGUGAAGAAAGGAGAAGCAUUGCGCUGGUGUGGGAAGCACGGGGCCGCUAAGGUUGAAGGCUUCUCAGCCUGGGCUGGAUCCUGGACAGACAGGCCCAGGCAGGCUGUGCACUGUGACCUGGGGCCUUGCUGUGAACAAAGAGGACUUCAAGAGGAGAUGGCCUGGAGGAGUUCGCCUUUGUGGUCAUUUUGCUUCAGUCCGUGACAACCUGGCUUCCAUCAAACCAAUCAGCCCAUCACCCAAUACUAGCUGUUCCAAAUAUAAAUUGUUGUCUUUGUCACUUUGCGUAGUCACUCUCCUCUUGAAAUAUACACAU